AGUUAAUGAAUGACAACUUGACGAGAUCUUGACACGCACGUACGUUGGAAGUGUACGCGUGUUUGCACCUCGAUGAGCGUUGCACAAUAACAAAGCUCCGUUGGUGAGCGUAUUGAUUAAUAAAGCUAGGUGAAGUACUUGAGUGCCUCAAGGACUUUGUUUUGUUUUAGCAGUAUUUUUUCCUUCAACAAUUAAUCUUGCAUCUCCAACCGUGGAAUGAGUUACAUGUGACUCGAGACAAACAAACAGUGCAAUUGCAACAAUAUAAUUAGUCAGCGGUAUGGUCACUAUCAGCAGCUUUACACACAGUGUGCAUCGUGAAUACAUCAAUCCCAGA
RNAcentral lists this long non-coding RNA (337 nucleotides) under Daphnia magna. RNAcentral describes it as "uncharacterized LOC123475859, transcript variant X1". The record is from RNAcentral. Lineage: Eukaryota; Metazoa; Arthropoda; Branchiopoda; Diplostraca; Daphniidae.